RNAcentral lists this ribosomal RNA (500 nucleotides) under uncultured bacterium. RNAcentral describes it as "partial 16S ribosomal RNA". It matches the Rfam family "Bacterial small subunit ribosomal RNA", at positions 899 to 1397 of the family's 1533-position model. The record is from RNAcentral.
ACUCAAAGGAAUUGACGGGGGCCCGCACAAGCGGUGGAGUAUGUGGUUCAAUUCGACGCAACGCGAAGAACCUUACCAGGCCUUGACAUGCCACGGCGACUUCCAGAGAUGGAUUUCUUCCCGCAAGGGACGUGGACACAGGUGCUGCAUGGCUGUCGUCAGCUCGUGUCGUGAGAUGUUGGGUUAAGUCCCGCAACGAGCGCAACCCUCAUUGUCAGUUGCUACCAGGUUAUGCUGGGCACUCUGAUGAAACUGCCGGUGAUAAGCCGGAGGAAGGCGGGGAUGACGUCAAGUCCUCAUGGCCCUUACGGCCUGGGCUACACACGUACUACAAUGGUGGUGACAGUGGGAAGCCAAAGCGCAAGCUGGAGCGAACCCCCAAAAGCCACCUCAGUUCAGAUUGCACUCUGCAACUCGAGUGCAUGAAGUCGGAAUCGCUAGUAAUCGCAGAUCAGCACGCUGCGGUGAAUACGUUCCCGGGCCUUGUACACACCGCCCGU